This 69-nucleotide transfer RNA is filed under the name Osteocephalus aff. cabrerai DO-2022. RNAcentral's name for it is "tRNA-Ala". It matches the Rfam family "tRNA". From Rfam's summary of the family: Transfer RNA (tRNA) molecules are approximately 80 nucleotides in length. Lineage: Eukaryota; Metazoa; Chordata; Amphibia; Anura; Hylidae. The record is from RNAcentral.
GAGGCUUUAUCUUAAUUAAAGUAUCUGAGUUGCAUUCAGAAUAUAUAGGUUAGUGUCCUAUAAGUCUUA